GCCUGGGUGGCUCAGGCGUUAAGCGUCUGACUCUCGAUCUCACAGUUGGUGGGUUCAAGCCCCGCCUCAGGCU
RNAcentral lists this transfer RNA (73 nucleotides) under Felis catus (domestic cat). It matches the Rfam family "tRNA". From Rfam's summary of the family: Transfer RNA (tRNA) molecules are approximately 80 nucleotides in length. Their secondary structure includes four short double-helical elements and three loops (D, anti-codon, and T loops). Lineage: Eukaryota; Metazoa; Chordata; Mammalia; Carnivora; Felidae. The record is from Rfam by way of RNAcentral.